UGUUUGCUGCUGGCCUCCAGAAGA
RNAcentral lists this non-coding RNA (24 nucleotides) under Mus musculus (house mouse). The record is from RNAcentral. Lineage: Eukaryota; Metazoa; Chordata; Mammalia; Rodentia; Muridae.